UAAACCAUGCACCGAAGCUGCGGCAGCGACACUAUGUGUUGUUGGGUAGGGGAGCGUUCUGUAAGCCUGCGAAGGUGACCUGUGAGGGUUGCUGGAGGUAUCAGAAGUGCGAAUGCUGACAUAAGUAACGAUAAAGCGGGUGAAAAGCCCGCUCGCCGGAAGACCAAGGGUUCCUGUCCAACGUUAAUCGGGGCAGGGUGAGUCGACCCCUAAGGCGAGGCCGAAAGGCGUAGUCGAUGGGAAACAGGUUAAUAUUCCUGUACUUGGUGUUACUGCGAAGGGGGGACGGAGAAGGCUAUGUUAGCCGGGCGACGGUUGUCCCGGUUUAAGCAUGUAGGCUGGUUAUCCAGGCAAAUCCGGAUAAUCAAGGCUGAGGUGUGAUGACGAGGCACUACGGUGCUGAAGUAACAAAUGCCCUGCUUCCAGGAAAAGCCUCUAAGCAUCAGGUAACAUCAAAUCGUACCCCAAACCGACACAGGUGGUCAGGUAGAGAAUACCAAGGCGCUUGAGAGAACUCGGGUGAAGGAACUAGGCAAAAUGGUGCCGUAACUUCGGGAGAAGGCACGCUGGUGUGUAGGUGAAGUCCCUGCGGAUGGAGCUGAGACCAGUCGAAGAUACCAGCUGGCUGCAACUGUUUAUUAAAAACACAGCACUGUGCAAACACGAAAGU
This 670-nucleotide ribosomal RNA is filed under the name Klebsiella pneumoniae. RNAcentral describes it as "partial 23S ribosomal RNA". It matches the Rfam family "Bacterial large subunit ribosomal RNA", at positions 1183 to 1838 of the family's 2925-position model. Lineage: Bacteria; Pseudomonadati; Pseudomonadota; Gammaproteobacteria; Enterobacterales; Enterobacteriaceae. The record is from RNAcentral.